UGCAACCUGAGCUCAGUCGUGAUUACCCGCCGAACUUAAGCAUAU
RNAcentral lists this ribosomal RNA (45 nucleotides) under Heterorhabditis downesi. RNAcentral describes it as "partial 28S ribosomal RNA". The record is from RNAcentral. Lineage: Eukaryota; Metazoa; Nematoda; Chromadorea; Rhabditida; Heterorhabditidae.